RNAcentral lists this ribosomal RNA (493 nucleotides) under uncultured bacterium. Its description in RNAcentral is "bacterial SSU rRNA". It matches the Rfam family "Bacterial small subunit ribosomal RNA", at positions 791 to 1283 of the family's 1533-position model. The record is from RNAcentral.
UAGUCCACGCCGUAAACGAUGUCUACUUGGAGGUUGUGGCCUUGAGCCGUGGCUUUCGGAGCUAACGCGUUAAGUAGACCGCCUGGGGAGUACGGUCGCAAGAUUAAAACUCAAAUGAAUUGACGGGGCCCGCACAAGCGGUGGAGCAUGUGGUUUAAUUCGAUGCAACGCGAAGAACCCUACCUACUCUUGACAUCCAGAGAACUUUCCAGAGAUGGAUUGGUGCCUUCGGGAGCUCUGAGACAGGUGCUGCAUGGCUGUCGUCAGCUCGUGUUGUGAAAUGUUGGGUUAAGUCCCGCAACGAGCGCAACCCUUAUCCUUGUUUGCCAGCGAGUCAUGUCGGGAACUCCAGGGAGACUGCCGGUGAUAAACCGGAGGAAGGUGGGGACGACGGUCAAGGUCAUCAUGGCCCUUACGAGUAGGGGCUACACACGUGCUACAAUGGCGCAUACAGAGGCGGCAACUUGCGAGAGUGAGCGAAUCCCAAAAAGUG